Long non-coding RNA from Corapipo altera (White-ruffed manakin), 913 nucleotides. RefSeq lists it as uncharacterized. The record is from RefSeq and is a predicted model, not a curated record. Lineage: Eukaryota; Metazoa; Chordata; Aves; Passeriformes; Pipridae. The transcript has 5 exons.
AGCGGGGGUCCCGCAGGGCCCUCGAGGGCGGCUGGCGGCAGGAAAAGUGCAGCCGCUCCACCCCCGCGGAAGCUCCUCGGGAGGAAUCCCGGAGCGCCCCAGAUCCGCCAUCCCCGCGCACACGCACCCUCACACCCCCGCCCGGCCGGAGACACGGCCGGGGGAGGAGGGAGGGGGUCUCCUACCGUCCUUGCUCGCCAUGUCGGGUGAGACCCAGUGCCGCCAGGUUUUAAAUACUGAGAACCACAGCCCUGCAGAAUGUGUAUUACUGGAUAUAUGCUACGUCAGACGUCUGUGCAGCUUUUUACUUUGGGAGGCAGAGGCAGAACCUGGGGCCAGAGGAGCUGUGGGUUCACAGCAUGUUACAGACAUCAUGUAAGGAAAGAAGGAGCAGGCAGAUAGAGGAUCUGCUGAGAACAAUUUUCCUUGUAGAUGUGUUCCCAUCCCUCUCUCGAAGCUUCUCCCAUGUGCAGACUUCUGAUGCACAUGUACAUGACACUCUGCUAAGGAAUACUGGAAAUCCUGUAGCACCAAAGAGCUGAACAUCUUAAUGUCCAACAACCUCACAAGAUAUGGCCUGUAUCUCACAAGACUGCUGUAUGAUUAGAAAAUAUUUUCUUUGUACUUCUGCCAAAGAAUGUCUGCAAGGUUGCACAGCAAAUGUAGCAAAGGAACACGUAGAUCUUUCCCUGGCAGCAUUUCUGGGCUCAGCUUUCAAGUAUCUGAUGAUAUGACCUUUAGGAACCAUCGCCCUUCAAUACAGUAAGGUUUGCUGUAUUCUGGUUGAAACCGGGUGUUUGGAUAGUGGCUGAAGGCUUUGUGAAAUCCCUAAGUGAAAGGACAAAUGAUAGAGGAACAACAUUUUCUAAUGCUUGGUUUGUUGAGUGACCUUUUGCAUCUGUCAAAUAAAAAA